RNAcentral lists this ribosomal RNA (484 nucleotides) under uncultured bacterium. RNAcentral describes it as "partial 16S ribosomal RNA". It matches the Rfam family "Bacterial small subunit ribosomal RNA", at positions 30 to 507 of the family's 1533-position model. The record is from RNAcentral.
AUUGAACGCUGGCGGCAGGCCUAACACAUGCAAGUCGAGCGGAUGAAGGGAGCUUGCUCCUGGAUUCAGCGGCGGACGGGUGAGUAAUGCCUAGGAAUCUGCCUGGUAGUUGGGGAUAACGUCCGUAAACGGGCGCUAAUACCGCAUACGUCCUGAGGGUGAAAGUGGGGGAUCUUCGGACCUCACGCUAUCUGAUGUGCCUAGGUCGGAUUAGCUAGUUGGUGGGGUAAAGGCCUACCAAGGCGACGAUCCGUAACUGGUCUGAGAGGAUGAUCAGUCACACUGGAACUGAGACACGGUCCAGACUACUACGGGAGGAAGCAGUGGGGAAUAUUGGACAAUGGGCGAAAGCAUGAUCCAGCCAUGCCGCGUGUGUGAAGAAGGUCUUCGGAUUGUAAAGCACUUUAAGUUGGGAGGAAGGGAAGUAAGUUAAUACCUUGCUGUUUUGACGUUACCAACAGAAUAAGCACCGGCUAACUUCGUG